UAAAAUCUAUUAGUGUAAACCCAAUUCUCUAAUUUUUAUUUAUUUUAAUUAUUGUUGGGUGAUUUCUAUUGCAAUAGAUGUCAAUGUGCAAGUGUACACAACAAAUAAUAUACUGAUAAGUAUUCAGAUCGUCUCUAUAAGGAUUGAUGUUAUCAAAUUUGCUACAUCAAUUUUAACAGUGCAAUUUCAGUCUAGAUUAAAAUGAAAAUAAUUAGUGAGACUAAUGAACUAACUAAAGUAAAGUAAAUGCAAUAAAUAAAAUACAAUAAGAAAAUUUCUCUAACCAAACACAAUGAUGAAUUCAAUGGAAAAAGAGUAGUUAAGUGAUUAAACUCACUUAAUGGUAUUAACUAUUUUUUUUUCAAUUUCAGUAUCGUUGCUACAACAUCUACUACAAUACUGGGUAGAAUCUCUCAUGCAUCCUCAGUUAUCGUCUGUUGGAUAUCUUAUACCUAAUGCAACAUAACAGUGACCAAUUGUUACGCUAACAUUGGAUAUAGCAUUAAAUGUUAUAGGUUCCAUUUACCAUGCAAGGUAAAUCUCUAUGUCUAGUUCUUCACUAAUUUUAGAUCAAGCAUGACCAUAUUCUAAUCGAGAUUAACUUAAUUUGGGAAACUCAAUCUAAAAAUAAGUAUUGUCUUAAUUUGUUCCACUAAGUCACACAUUUUUUGGGCUCUUUUUUAGCUAGUAUCCACUAAAUGGGUGGUCAUCCGAAAUGCGAAUUGCAAUAAUUGAAAUUAAGACAAAAUGUCACAGCAAGUUCAGAGAAAUACGCAUAUAACAGUCAGUUAACCAUUAAACUUGUUCAUCACUCAACCACAAUAAAAUUUAACUCAUGAUUUGCGAUAGAACAGUAACAAAAAUUGUUUUAGCCAUCCAAUAGAUUCGCAUAAAUUAAAAAAAAAAAACAAGAAACUAAGAUAAAGAGUUGAAGUUCACUUGAUCUUGCAAUCUCUCCUUCUUAUUCUCUGUGAAUCAUCUAUUGCAGCCCUCAAUUCUCUCUUAAUAUAUGUUUUCUUAGUGAUAGCUCUCCCUCUUUUUCUUUUCAUACGUGCUCCUUUUAUAACUUGGAAUUAGAGCAAUCAAAAGCAUGUGGCCGCGUAUUUCCCAUUUUUGGAAACUUGAUAUCACAAUCUUUCAGUCAAUGCAUUCGAAAUCCAAUCUGUCAUUGCUACAAAAUUGUUAUACAAACAGCUACAACAUCUUCAUUGUUUCAUACUUGUUUUAACUCAUCUGCAGCCAAAUUCUUUUGUUAUCUUUGCAAGUCUGUUGCAGUAGUAUUCCAUCCAUAAAACUUGAGUUUUUUGGUCUUCUACAAUCAUGCACAUAAUCUAAGCACCAAAUGAUCUAAAACAUGAUUAAUUUAUCAAAAUUAAACUUAAAUAAAUAUUUAUGCCAAAUAUAAUUAAAAUGCAACAACUCAAACAUGAUUAAUUUAUCAAAAUUAAACUUAAAUAAAUAUUUUUACAAAAUGUAACCAAAAUGCAACAAAAACACAUCAUUUACUCUCUAAAUAAUAUUGAUUUAAGCUUAAACGUACCCUGAUAACUCUCAUUUUCUAGAGUUAUCAAUUAUUAAACCCCAUUUCAAUAAUAAUUUCUUCCAUUCAAAAGAAAAAAAAAGUUUUUAUUCUCCCCAUUAUAGCCACCGGUGGUAAAUUCUUCACCCAAAAAUUAGAGGAAAAAAGCAAACUUCUUAAUUUAUAAAAUGUUAGAUUUUUUUAGGGGAAAAAUUAUUUGACUUUUGCGUGGGGGCUUAAUUAGAAAUUGUCCUAUUAGGUAAUUUUAAAUAAAAGUUAAAAUUGUAUAAUAAUUAAAUGGGUUUUAAGAGAUAUUUGGAGGGGUGCCAAAAGUCCCACUCUUUUUUCUUUUUUUUGUCUCAUGUGAUUCACGAAUCCAUACCCUAUUUUGAAACUGAAUAAUUGACGUAUUUAAUUUAGAACCAU
This 1945-nucleotide long non-coding RNA is filed under the name Citrus x clementina. RNAcentral's name for it is "Citrus clementina (C. clementina) long non-coding RNA (CCLE_LNC001911)". The record is from RNAcentral. Lineage: Eukaryota; Viridiplantae; Streptophyta; Magnoliopsida; Sapindales; Rutaceae.